Molecule: ribosomal RNA, 252 nt
Filed under: uncultured bacterium
Lineage: Bacteria
Description: partial 16S ribosomal RNA
Rfam family: Bacterial small subunit ribosomal RNA
Source: RNAcentral
UACAGAGGCCACGAGCGUUAGGCGGAAUCACUGGGCUUAAAGCGUGUGUAGGUGGAUGGGUAAGUACCUUGUGAAAUCCCACGGCUCAACCGUGGAACUGCUUGGUAUACUGCCUGUCUUGAGGCACUCAGGGGCGAGCGGAACAAAUGGUGGAGCGGUGAAAUGCGUAGAUAUCAUUUGGAACGCCAAUGGUGAAGACAGCUCGCUGGGGGGUACUGACACUGAGACACGAAAGCCAGGGGAGCAAACGGG